Molecule: ribosomal RNA, 370 nt
Filed under: uncultured organism
Description: bacterial SSU rRNA
Rfam family: Bacterial small subunit ribosomal RNA
Source: RNAcentral
CGAACUGUGCGAACGUUAUUCGGAAUCACUGGGCUUACAGGGUGCGUAGGCGGCCGAACAAGCCAGGUGUGAAAGCCCUCGGCUCAACCGAGGAACUGCGCUUGAAACUGUUUGGCUCGAGUCAACUAGAGGUGCACGGAACUUCCAGUGGAGCGGUGAAAUGUGUUGAUAUUGGAAGGAACACCGGAGGCGAAAGCGGUGCACUGGGGUUGGUCUGACGCUGAGGCACGAAAGCCAGGGGAGCGAACGGGAUUAGAUACCCCGGUAGUCCUGGCCGUAAACGAUGAGUGCUGGACGGGAGGGGGUUCGCCCUUUCCGGUCGGAGCGAAAGCGGGAAGCACUCCGCCUGGGGAGUAUGGUCGCAAGGCUG